GAUGAACGCUGGCGGUGUGCCUAAUACAUGCAAGUCGAGCGAACAGACGAGGAGCUUGCUCCUCUGACGUUAGCGGCGGACGGGUGAGUAACACGUGGAUAACCUACCUAUAAGACUGGGAUAACUUCGGGAAACCGGAGCUAAUACCGGAUAAUAUAUUGAACCGCAUGGUUCAAUAGUGAAAGACGGUUUUGCUGUCACUUAUAGAUGGAUCCGCGCCGCAUUAGCUAGUUGGUAAGGUAACGGCUUACCAAGGCAACGAUGCGUAGCCGACCUGAGAGGGUGAUCGGCCACACUGGAACUGAGACACGGUCCAGACUCCUACGGGAGGCAGCAGUAGGGAAUCUUCCGCAAUGGGCGAAAGCCUGACGGAGCAACGCCGCGUGAGUGAUGAAGGUCUUCGGAUCGUAAAACUCUGUUAUUAGGGAAGAACAAAUGUGUAAGUAACUAUGCACGUCUUGACGGUACCUAAUCAGAAAGCCACGGCUAACUACGU
RNAcentral lists this ribosomal RNA (496 nucleotides) under uncultured bacterium. Its description in RNAcentral is "partial 16S ribosomal RNA". It matches the Rfam family "Bacterial small subunit ribosomal RNA", at positions 28 to 506 of the family's 1533-position model. The record is from RNAcentral.